RNAcentral lists this unclassified non-coding RNA (340 nucleotides) under Bombus terrestris (buff-tailed bumblebee). RNAcentral describes it as "misc RNA ENSBTSG00005031168.1". The record is from RNAcentral. Lineage: Eukaryota; Metazoa; Arthropoda; Insecta; Hymenoptera; Apidae.
CUGGAUUUUCGAUUUUCAGAUGCGUCGCUAUAGUUAUUUUCAAAGCAAACAAUCUGAAAUAUUCUUGGAGAAAAGAAGAAAAAUAACUAACAGCAGAAAGGUGGCGAAACGAGAUUCAAGCUCUCGCGGUUCUUUCUCACGGCGGAGAAAAAAAAAACGACGUCAUCCAGCUGCGAGUUGAAGAUGUUCCGAGUCACCGUAGCGCCGGCAGCAACUGCUGACUCGAAGCUUGCUCGCCUUUAUGGACCAACUCAGCUAAUCCACGAAGGUCCGAGUUUUUCUCGCGCCGUCGACGAGUCGAUUGAAGAAAGAAGUGGAGUACCGAUGGACUCGGCGACAA